GGAUUAGGUAGUUGUUUUUAAGGAAAAAGCUUACAAAGCCGAUAAUCCUUAAUUGAUCUGAGUAGGAUGAUCAAUCACACUAAGACUGAGACAAGGCUUAGACUUUUUAAAAGGCAGCAGUGAGGAAUUUUGGACAAUGAGUGCAAGCUUGAUCCAGCAAUAUAAAGUGAAUGACAGAAAGCCAUUUUCGGUUGUAAAGUUCUUUUAUUAAAAAAUAUUAUGACUUAUUUAAUGAAAAAACCCGAGCAAAUUUCGUGCCAGCAGCUGCGGUGAUACGAGACGGGUUAGUGUUAUUCAGAAUUAUUGGGCGUAAAAGGUGUGUAGACUACUAUUGUUGUAAAUAUUUAAAGCUUAAACUUGACACUUUUAAGAGAUAUUUUAAACAAAUAGUUUGAGUAUAGUAUAAGAUUAUAGAAUUUCAGGAGGAAAAAUAAAAUUUGUAGAUACCUGAAGGAAUGCCGAAGGCGAAAGCAAUAAUCAUUACUUUACUGACGUUGAUACACGAAAGUAUAGGUAUCAAACAGGAUUAGAUACCCUGGU
This 540-nucleotide ribosomal RNA is filed under the name Hemiselmis tepida. RNAcentral describes it as "partial Bacterial small subunit ribosomal RNA". It matches the Rfam family "Bacterial small subunit ribosomal RNA", at positions 238 to 791 of the family's 1533-position model. The record is from RNAcentral. Lineage: Eukaryota; Cryptophyceae; Cryptomonadales; Hemiselmidaceae.